UACGAAGGGGGCUAGCGUUGCUCGGAAUUACUGGGCGUAAAGCGCACGUAGGCGGCUUUUUAUGUCGGGGGUGAAAUCCUGGAGCUCAACUCCAGAACUGCCUUCGAUACUGGAAGACUUGAGUCCGGGAGAGGUGAGUGGAACUGCGAGUGUAGAGGUGAAAUUCGUAGAUAUUCGCAAGAACACCAGUGGCGAAGGCGGCUCACUGGCCCGGUACUGACGCUGAGGUGCGAAAGCGUGGGGAGCAAACAGU
RNAcentral lists this ribosomal RNA (253 nucleotides) under uncultured bacterium. RNAcentral describes it as "partial 16S ribosomal RNA". It matches the Rfam family "Bacterial small subunit ribosomal RNA", at positions 524 to 776 of the family's 1533-position model. The record is from RNAcentral.